Long non-coding RNA from Cygnus atratus (black swan), 383 nucleotides. RefSeq lists it as uncharacterized. The transcript is spliced from 3 exons. NCBI's taxonomy places the organism in Eukaryota, Metazoa, Chordata, Aves, Anseriformes, Anatidae. The record is from RefSeq and is a predicted model, not a curated record.
CUGUGAUGCCUGAAAGAGGAAUAAAAAUGUUGGGAUAGAGUUCUGUGACUACACAUCCUUGGAAAAAAAAGAACUGCAAGAACAGCCAAGGAGAUUAUUUACUUCUCCCCAGGCUGUCAAUGCCAAAGUAAAGUGUACUUCAUGCACUGGGGGUACCUGAACAGCAGGCAGUGAACAUCUGAGAAGCACCAUUGACCGUGAACUUUGCUACUCCCUUGCUGCUCUCAUAGUGACCUUCAAAAUCAGGUGGGGAAGUUUAACUUUCAAUUACUGCCAGUCUUCUUUUCCUUCCCACCCUGUCUGAGCACUGGCACAGGUUGCCCGGAGAAGCUGUGCAUUUUUCCUCCUUGGAGACAGUCUAAAGCUAUCUGGUCAUGGUUGUG